UGAUGGUGCCUUCCUGAGGUGGAGACUGCUGGGCUCUGUUCCCGUCUGUGGCUCACCCUCUAGUCUGGGAGUGCUUUCCUGUUCAGAUAGCUCAUUCCAACCUCUUAGUCACUUUGGAGAGCAUCGUUCAGUGAGUCAGCACGGGACCUGGAGCCCAGGGACCCCUCCCAGCCAGGCCAGCGCACACUUGAAAUCUGCAGUUUGUCUUGGGUUCCCUGGAGGUGAUUGCUUGACUGCAGAGGAAUGCACGGGUCUGAGGAGAAUUUGCCCAGUGUGUUUAGAAGGAAUGCAUUCCUGGAGAAAGUUAAAAUUAGAAAAAGCUGCUACAUUUCCUGCCAUUCAGUCACAGUUGGCUGGUGUUUGUUUGCACAAGGAUUCUUUGAUUUGUGCUUGAGAAGCUCUGAGUUCCCGUGCGUCCACCCGCAUUGGCAUUACAGCCUGUCUGGUCCUGGGAUUGUUCUGUUUGUGUUUGCUGUUACUCUGCAUAUCAAGGCUGCUGGCUUUGGGUUAGGAUCCCAGCUUUUCAAUUCCUGAUCUUGGGUGAGUCUUUGAAACCGGGUCAGCCUCAGUUCUCUUAUCUGCUAAAUGAUGGCAUGAUAAUACAUGUCUGGCCUACCUCGCAGGGUUGUUGUGAAAAGCGACCGAGAGGCCAGAUGGGAAAGUAUGUUGUCAACUAGGAUACAUUCUGCUAAUAAUUCUAUUUGUUUAUUUUUUUUGUGAUGAAGUUCCACUCUUGUUGCCCAGGCUGGAGUGCAAUGGUGCAAUCUUGGCUCACUGCAACCUCAGCCUCCCAAGUAGCUGGGAUUAUAGGCAUGUGCCUCCACGCCCAGCUAAUUUUU
RNAcentral lists this long non-coding RNA (839 nucleotides) under Rhinopithecus bieti (black snub-nosed monkey). Its description in RNAcentral is "lncRNA (ENSRBIG00000046366.1)". The record is from RNAcentral. Lineage: Eukaryota; Metazoa; Chordata; Mammalia; Primates; Cercopithecidae.